Molecule: RNA transcript, 1799 nt
Organism: Lagenorhynchus albirostris (white-beaked dolphin)
Lineage: Eukaryota; Metazoa; Chordata; Mammalia; Artiodactyla; Delphinidae
Gene: MRPL30
Gene name: mitochondrial ribosomal protein L30
Exons: 7
Source: RefSeq, a predicted model, not a curated record
ACCGAAAGUAGUGCAUUUUUUCCAGGAGUACAUAUCUGGGAACCCCAUGCAGAUGCGGAUUGAUUUUCUCCAUUCGAUGCUGUGUUUACGGGUCACGGUAACCUGAAUGGAACUACGUCCAGGUACUGUCGCCUGGGCUCCCGAAAAGCCACUGGCCGGCUGGAUCCCGUUUCCCAGUUUGUGGAAUCCCGGGACGCGGCAUGUGGAGCCCCGCCUCCUGGAGCUCGAGGACAGAGCCGCCUCGGCUGGGCAGUCUGGCGGGAAAGGGAAUUCAACCCCAAAGGAGAACAGUCACCACACUCAUGGCAGGGAUUUUGCGCUCAAUAGUUCAGAGGCCCCCAGGCAGACUACAAAUGGUGACAAAAGGUGUGGAGCCCCUUGUUUGUACAGAUUGGAUUCGUCACAAAUUUACGAAGUCAAGAAUUCCAGAUAAAGUUUUUCAACCUUCACCUGAAGAUCAUGAAAAAUAUGGUGGGGAUCCCCAGCAGCCUCAUAAACUGCAUAUUGUUACCAGAAUAAAAAGUACAAAAAGACGUCCAUAUUGGGAGAAAGAUAUAAUAAAGAUGCUGGGGUUACAAAAAGCACAUACUCCUCAAGUUCACAAGAACAUCCCUUCGGUGAAUGCAAAACUGAAAGUGGUUAAACAUUUGAUAAGAAUCAAGCCCCUGAAGCUGCCGCAGGGUCUCCCAAGAGAGGAGGACAUGUCCAGCACGUGCCUCAAGAGCACUGGAGAGCUGGUGGUGGGGUGGCUUCAGAACCCCACGGACCAGGAAGUGAAUAAGCCCUGAUGGCCUCGCGGCUUCAGAGUAAAAAGUGCAAGUCAUUUCUAUCUCAAGAUGUUGCUCAGUGUAUCCUGUCCAAAAACUUAAAUGCUGCGGUGCAACCGUCAGCACAUCAGGUGACUCAACAACGCAUCCUACAACUGGCCCUAGUCGAACAAAGACUCUGCCCUCUGGACAUCCUCCUGGUCUUAACUGACAAAAUCUUGACCAGUGAAAAUCUGGACGUCGUGGAUUGAUGCCUUGUGGUCUGACUUUGUCUGCCUUUGGCUGAAGAGGGGCAUCAGAGAAGAGCAGCUGUGACAGCCAGGAGCUGGCCUGGGAAGCCUCCGUGUGUCUAGGAGCCGGCCCAGCACUGACAGGUGUUUCCUAUUGAACGUAAGCAAUUUCACAGGUCACCAACAUCAGAUGAAGCUGCUCUGUAACUGAUGGAUCAAGGCGAAGACAAGCUCACUCCGUAAUCACAUCCGAGCGCAGGCGAAAACACAAGCAUCAUUCAAGCCGGAAAAAUGAGGCAUAUCCCCUCUUCUGGGUAAUGUGGGGCCUGCUGCUUCUCGUCACACAGCUUCAGCCUCGCUUCAUUCCUCUCACCUUCUAGAUGAGAUUCAUGAAGACACCAAUCAUAGAGCCAUCUCUCUUUUCCUGACAGCAUCCAAUCCAGAGCAAACCAUGCUGCUUUGAACACUCAUCAAAAUCAUCUAAUAAGAGCCCAGAUCCUUUAAAGUCCUUCCCAAAGGACUUUUCCUGAGAUGCAAUAAAGGGAACUUAUCCAGCUUCAGGUGUGUCUGGUGGUCUGUGGCCAGCCUGCUCUCCCGAUACUAAUUCUUGUGGCUCUCGGGUCUAAGCUGCUAAGGAUCAUUCUACUCAGCCUCGACCUCCUUAGAGUAUCUCUGCUCCUUCCUUCACCACAGGUAACCCAGUCUGCUGUUUUCCCAGCCUGGAGAGCUUGCCAGAAAAAAACUCAAGUGAAUCUGUUAUAAAGCAGAAACUGACACACCAUUGUAAAGCAAUUAUACUCCA